This 405-nucleotide long non-coding RNA is filed under the name Ictidomys tridecemlineatus (thirteen-lined ground squirrel). Its description in RNAcentral is "lncRNA (ENSSTOG00000032298.1)". The record is from RNAcentral. Lineage: Eukaryota; Metazoa; Chordata; Mammalia; Rodentia; Sciuridae.
CCGUAAGAGGGAGUUCAGACCUAGAUCUUUCCAGUUAAUCACACAACAAACUUAGCUCAUCGCAAUAAAAAGCAGCUCAGAGCCGACUGGCUCUUUUAGGCACUGACUGCGAACAGGAUUCUUUCACCGGGGCAUCUCCUCCAGUGGGACCCACCAGCGCGUCCCGCAGCACCAUGUGGGUGACCAAACUUCUGCCAGUCCUGCUGCUGCAGCACGUCCUCCUACAUCUCCUUCUGCUUCCCAUCGCCAUCCCCUAUGCAGAGGGACAGAAGAAAAGAAGAAAUACACUCCAUGAAUUCAAAAAGUCAGCUAAGACAACUCUAAUCAAAGAAGACCCAUUACUGAAGAUUAAAACCAAAAAAAUGAAUACUCCAGACCAAUGUGCCAAUAGAUGUAUUAGGAAUA